ACGCGAAGAACCUUACCUGGGCUCGAAAUGUAGUCGACCGUCUCAGAGAUGAGGCCUUCCCGCAAGGGACGGCUGCAUAGGUGCUGCAUGGCUGUCGUCAGCUCGUGUCGUGAGAUGUUGGGUUAAGUCCCGCAACGAGCGCAACCCUCACCCUUAGUUGCUCGUCCGUAAGGAAAGCACCCUAAGGGAACUGCCUCGGAUAACGGGGAGGAAGGUGGGGAUGACGUCAAGUCCUCAUGGCCUUUAUGUCCAGGGCUACACACGUGCUACAAUGGCCGGUACAAAGCGUCGCGAACCCGCAAGGGGGAGCCAAUCGCAAAAAGCCGGUCUCAGUUCGGAUUGCAGGCUGCAACUCGCCUGCAUGAAGCUGGAAUCGCUAGUAAUCGCGUAUCAGAACGACGCGGUGAAUACGUUCCCGGGCCUUGUA
RNAcentral lists this ribosomal RNA (427 nucleotides) under uncultured Acidobacterium sp. RNAcentral describes it as "bacterial SSU rRNA". It matches the Rfam family "Bacterial small subunit ribosomal RNA", at positions 959 to 1385 of the family's 1533-position model. Lineage: Bacteria; Pseudomonadati; Acidobacteriota; Terriglobia; Terriglobales; Acidobacteriaceae. The record is from RNAcentral.